RNAcentral lists this ribosomal RNA (253 nucleotides) under uncultured bacterium. RNAcentral describes it as "partial 16S ribosomal RNA". It matches the Rfam family "Bacterial small subunit ribosomal RNA", at positions 524 to 776 of the family's 1533-position model. The record is from RNAcentral.
UACGAAGGGGGCUAGCGUUGCUCGGAAUGACUGGGCGUAAAGGGCGCGUAGGCGGCUUGCACCGUCAGAUGUGAAAUUCCUGGGCUUAACCUGGGGGCUGCAUUUGAUACGUGUGGGCUUGAGUGCGGAAGAGGGUCGUGGAAUUCCCAGUGUAGAGGUGAAAUGUGUAGAGAUCGGGAGGAACACCGGUGGCGAAGGCGGGUCUCUGGGCAACUCCUGACGCUGAGGCGCGAAAGCGUGGGGAGCAAACGGG